GUAAAUAACCAUAUUCUGUUUUGUAAAAACCUUCUUUAUCUCGGAACCUAAACAGGAUCAGGCCUGGUUAGUACUUGGAUGGGAGACCACCUAGGAAGACCAGGUGCUAUAGGCG
RNAcentral lists this ribosomal RNA (115 nucleotides) under Pteropus alecto (black flying fox). The record is from RNAcentral. RNAcentral also lists the same sequence under 1 other name. Lineage: Eukaryota; Metazoa; Chordata; Mammalia; Chiroptera; Pteropodidae.